Molecule: ribosomal RNA, 1837 nt
Filed under: Escherichia coli
Lineage: Bacteria; Pseudomonadati; Pseudomonadota; Gammaproteobacteria; Enterobacterales; Enterobacteriaceae
Description: partial 23S ribosomal RNA
Rfam family: Bacterial large subunit ribosomal RNA
Source: RNAcentral
CGGGACACGUGGUAUCCUGUCUGAAUAUGGGGGGACCAUCCUCCAAGGCUAAAUACUCCUGACUGACCGAUAGUGAACCAGUACCGUGAGGGAAAGGCGAAAAGAACCCCGGCGAGGGGAGUGAAAAAGAACCUGAAACCGUGUACGUACAAGCAGUGGGAGCCUCUUAAUGGGGUGACUGCGUACCUUUUGUAUAAUGGGUCAGCGACUUAUAUUCUGUAGCAAGGUUAACCGAAUAGGGGAGCCGAAGGGAAACCGAGUCUUAACUGGGCGUUAAGUUGCAGGGUAUAGACCCGAAACCCGGUGAUCUAGCCAUGGGCAGGUUGAAGGUUGGGUAACACUAACUGGAGGACCGAACCGACUAAUGUUGAAAAAUUAGCGGAUGACUUGUGGCUGGGGGUGAAAGGCCAAUCAAACCGGGAGAUAGCUGGUUCUCCCCGAAAGCUAUUUAGGUAGCGCCUCGUGAAUUCAUCUCCGGGGGUAGAGCACUGUUUCGGCAAGGGGGUCAUCCCGACUUACCAACCCGAUGCAAACUGCGAAUACCGGAGAAUGUUAUCACGGGAGACACACGGCGGGUGCUAACGUCCGUCGUGAAGAGGGAAACAACCCAGACCGCCAGCUAAGGUCCCAAAGUCAUGGUUAAGUGGGAAACGAUGUGGGAAGGCCCAGACAGCCAGGAUGUUGGCUUAGAAGCAGCCAUCAUUUAAAGAAAGCGUAAUAGCUCACUGGUCGAGUCGGCCUGCGCGGAAGAUGUAACGGGGCUAAACCAUGCACCGAAGCUGCGGCAGCGACACUAUGUGUUGUUGGGUAGGGGAGCGUUCUGUAAGCCUGUGAAGGUGUGCUGUGAGGCAUGCUGGAGGUAUCAGAAGUGCGAAUGCUGACAUAAGUAACGAUAAAGCGGGUGAAAAGCCCGCUCGCCGGAAGACCAAGGGUUCCUGUCCAACGUUAAUCGGGGCAGGGUGAGUCGACCCCUAAGGCGAGGCCGAAAGGCGUAGUCGAUGGGAAACAGGUUAAUAUUCCUGUACUUGGUGUUACUGCGAAGGGGGGACGGAGAAGGCUAUGUUGGCCGGGCGACGGUUGUCCCGGUUUAAGCGUGUAGGCUGGUUUUCCAGGCAAAUCCGGAAAACCAAGGCUGAGGCGUGAUGACGAGGCACUACGGUGCUGAAGUGACAAAUGCCCUGCUUCCAGGAAAAGCCUCUAAGCAUCAGGUAACAUUAAAUCGUACCCCAAACCGACACAGGUGGUCAGGUAGAGAAUACCAAGGCGCUUGAGAGAACUCGGGUGAAGGAACUAGGCAAAAUGGUGCCGUAACUUCGGGAGAAGGCACGCUGAUAUGUAGGUGAAGCGACUUGCUCGUGGAGCUGAAAUCAGUCGAAGAUACCAGCUGGCUGCAACUGUUUAUUAAAAACACAGCACUGUGCAAACACGAAAGUGGACGUAUACGGUGUGACGCCUGCCCGGUGCCGGAAGGUUAAUUGAUGGGGUUAGCGGUAACGCGAAGCUCUUGAUCGAAGCCCCGGUAAACGGCGGCCGUAACUAUAACGGUCCUAAGGUAGCGAAAUUCCUUGUCGGGUAAGUUCCGACCUGCACGAAUGGCGUAAUGAUGGCCAGGCUGUCUCCACCCGAGACUCAGUGAAAUUGAACUCGCUGUGAAGAUGCAGUGUACCCGCGGCAAGACGGAAAGACCCCGUGAACCUUUACUAUAGCUUGACACUGAACAUUGAGCCUUGAUGUGUAGGAUAGGUGGGAGGCUUUGAAGUGUGGACGCCAGUCUGCAUGGAGCCGACCUUGAAAUACCACCCUUUAAUGUUUGAUGUUCUAACGUUGGCCCGUAAUC